ACCAGAUUUCACCUCUGGGAGCUGGGAGGGUUCGCUCCAGGUGAAAAGCACUCUUGACCAAUCUGAACUCCCAACAGUGCCUGCACGGAGCCUACCACAUAAGGUUUUGUAGGUUUUCUCUUAGACACAAAAACAUCAUCUCUUCACUUCAAGGCGUCGUCGCCUGUACUUGGAUGUGUGUAUCUGGACGUGCACAUGAACUCUGAGUUGCAUUUUUCUACAGACCGUUUCUGCAAGUUUCCCUUUGCCAGAGACGGGGAAACAGCACAUUUUUAGCUGCUUCAUCUAGCACCGUAAGUAUCAAAGGAAAAACGAAAGUGUUGAAAUUAAUUUCGUUAGCAGAGUGUAAAGGAAGGACCUGUGCGGUGUGGGCCACCCCGGGAGCUGGGCACCACUGACUGAGUGGUGAGAAGGGACCUGGAGAAGGCAGUCUGCCCAGGGUCCCACCCUAGGGGAACCUGGCUCACGGCAGACAUCUGACUGAUUGGCUUUACAAGGGAGGAAUGACUAAGCAGAAUUAAAGUGAAAACACUGUGUACCACUUGUGAGUAAGAGUUUACUCCGAGUGAAUAAUAGUUUCCACAGAGAAAGGAAACUUCAAACAGUGAUUAACAAAGAGAUAUGCCAUCAGAGAGUUUAGGAGCAACCUGGCCACCUCCAUCUGGCACAUGGCGGAGAGCCUCCUGCAUCAUGGAGGGUGAAGACAGCCACGCACAGUGCUGGUGGAGGUGGGGGUGAGACGCAGGGUGUGUGAGAUGUGUGAAGGUCGGUUCUGCUAAUCUAUACCCCUUUUUUUGGGCUUUUCCAACAUUUUUCAGUGCAUGACUUACCCAUUAUCUGGGGGACUGAGGGAGGGAUAUUCAUUCCUUUAAUAAAACUUGAGUACCUAUUGUGUGUUAGGCAAUGAUAAAGCCGUGGAAACUCCAAUGUCAGGAAGAAAGGCACUCCCUUGGAGAUCUCACAGUGUGGUCAGGGAGACAGAUGGGAUUACGAUUACGAUACAACAUGUGAUGGGCUAGAAUGGAGAAAGUACAAAGUAUGAGGGUGCAAUAAUGCAGAUCUGCUUUCCCUUGGGUUCAGUAAGACUUGACCUUUGAUCUGAGACUUGAGGCUGAAUGAGAAUGGACAG
Orcinus orca (killer whale) is the source of this 1129-nucleotide long non-coding RNA. RefSeq lists it as uncharacterized. The transcript has 3 exons. The record is from RefSeq and is a predicted model, not a curated record. NCBI's taxonomy places the organism in Eukaryota, Metazoa, Chordata, Mammalia, Artiodactyla, Delphinidae.